GACGAGCGCUGGCGGCGUGCUUAACACAUGCAAGUCGAACGGUGAAGGGAUCAGCUUGCUGGUUCUGGAUGAGUGGCGAACGGGUGAGUAACACGUGAGUAACCUGCCCCCUUCUUCUGGAUAACCGCAUGAAAGUGUGGCUAAUACGGGAUAUUCUGGGUCUGUCGCAUGAUGGGUCUGGGAAAGAUAUUGUUACGGUGGGGGAUGGGCUCGCGGCCUAUCAGCUUGUUGGUGGGGUGAUGGCCUACCAAGGCGGUGACGGGUAGCCGGCCUGAGAGGGUGGACGGUCACACUGGGACUGAGACACGGCCCAGACUCCUACGGGAGGCAGCAGUGGGGAAUAUUGCACAAUGGGCGCAAGCCUGAUGCAGCGACGCCGCGUGAGGGAUGGAGGCCUUCGGGUUGUAAACCUCUUUCGCCAGUGAAGCAGGCCUGCUCCUUGUGGGUGGGUUGACGGUAGCUGGAUAAGAAGCGCCGGCUAACUACGUG
This 489-nucleotide ribosomal RNA is filed under the name uncultured bacterium. RNAcentral describes it as "partial 16S ribosomal RNA". It matches the Rfam family "Bacterial small subunit ribosomal RNA", at positions 28 to 507 of the family's 1533-position model. The record is from RNAcentral.